Molecule: ribosomal RNA, 1150 nt
Filed under: Escherichia coli 2-474-04_S1_C2
Lineage: Bacteria; Pseudomonadati; Pseudomonadota; Gammaproteobacteria; Enterobacterales; Enterobacteriaceae
Description: bacterial LSU rRNA
Rfam family: Bacterial large subunit ribosomal RNA
Source: RNAcentral
AGAUACCAGCUGGCUGCAACUGUUUAUUAAAAACACAGCACUGUGCAAACACGAAAGUGGACGUAUACGGUGUGACGCCUGCCCGGUGCCGGAAGGUUAAUUGAUGGGGUUAGCGCAAGCGAAGCUCUUGAUCGAAGCCCCGGUAAACGGCGGCCGUAACUAUAACGGUCCUAAGGUAGCGAAAUUCCUUGUCGGGUAAGUUCCGACCUGCACGAAUGGCGUAAUGAUGGCCAGGCUGUCUCCACCCGAGACUCAGUGAAAUUGAACUCGCUGUGAAGAUGCAGUGUACCCGCGGCAAGACGGAAAGACCCCGUGAACCUUUACUAUAGCUUGACACUGAACAUUGAGCCUUGAUGUGUAGGAUAGGUGGGAGGCUUAGAAGUGUGGACGCCAGUCUGCAUGGAGCCGACCUUGAAAUACCACCCUUUAAUGUUUGAUGUUCUAACGUUGACCCGUAAUCCGGGUUGCGGACAGUGUCUGGUGGGUAGUUUGACUGGGGCGGUCUCCUCCUAAAGAGUAACGGAGGAGCACGAAGGUUGGCUAAUCCUGGUCGGACAUCAGGAGGUUAGUGCAAUGGCAUAAGCCAGCUUGACUGCGAGCGUGACGGCGCGAGCAGGUGCGAAAGCAGGUCAUAGUGAUCCGGUGGUUCUGAAUGGAAGGGCCAUCGCUCAACGGAUAAAAGGUACUCCGGGGAUAACAGGCUGAUACCGCCCAAGAGUUCAUAUCGACGGCGGUGUUUGGCACCUCGAUGUCGGCUCAUCACAUCCUGGGGCUGAAGUAGGUCCCAAGGGUAUGGCUGUUCGCCAUUUAAAGUGGUACGCGAGCUGGGUUUAGAACGUCGUGAGACAGUUCGGUCCCUAUCUGCCGUGGGCGCUGGAGAACUGAGGGGGGCUGCUCCUAGUACGAGAGGACCGGAGUGGACGCAUCACUGGUGUUCGGGUUGUCAUGCCAAUGGCACUGCCCGGUAGCUAAAUGCGGAAGAGAUAAGUGCUGAAAGCAUCUAAGCACGAAACUUGCCCCGAGAUGAGUUCUCCCUGACCCUUUAAGAGUCCUGAAGGAACGUUGAAGACGACGACGUUGAUAGGCCGGGUGUGUAAGCGCAGCGAUGCGUUGAGCUAACCGGUACUAAUGAACCGUGAGGCUUAACCUU